GUAGGUGGCAAGCGUUGUCCGGAAUUAUUGGGCGUAAAGCGCGCGCAGGCGGUUCUUUAAGUCUGAUGUGAAAGCCCACGGGCUCAACCGUGGAGGGUCAUUGGAAACUGGAGAACUUGAGUACAGAAGAGGAAAGCGGAAUUCCACGUGUAGCGGUGAAAUGCGUAGAGAUGUGGAGGAACACCAGUGGCGAAGGCGGCUUUCUGGUCUGUAACUGACGCUGAGGCGCGAAAGCGUGGGGAGCAAACAGGAUUAGAUACCCUGGUAGUCCACGCCGUAAACGAUGAGUGCUAAGUGUUAGGGGGUUUCCGCCCCUUAGUGCUACAGCUAACGCAUUAAGCACUCCGCCUGGGGAGUACGGCCGCAAAGGCUG
This 373-nucleotide ribosomal RNA is filed under the name uncultured organism. Its description in RNAcentral is "partial 16S ribosomal RNA". It matches the Rfam family "Bacterial small subunit ribosomal RNA", at positions 527 to 896 of the family's 1533-position model. The record is from RNAcentral.